RNAcentral lists this ribosomal RNA (497 nucleotides) under uncultured bacterium. RNAcentral describes it as "partial 16S ribosomal RNA". It matches the Rfam family "Bacterial small subunit ribosomal RNA", at positions 28 to 507 of the family's 1533-position model. The record is from RNAcentral.
GACGAACGCUGGCGGCGUGCCUAAUACAUGCAAGUUGAGCGAUGAAGAUUGGUGCUUGCUCCAAUUUGAAGAGCAGCGAACGGGUGAGUAACGCGUGGGGAAUCUGCCUUCGAGCGGGGGACAACAUGUGGAAACGAAUGCUAAUACCGCAUAACAACUUUAAAUAUAAGUUUUAAGUUUGAAAGAUGCAAUUGCAUCACUCAAAGACGAUCCCGCGUUGUAUUAGCUAGUUGGUGAGGUAAAGGCUCACCAAGGCGAUGAUACAUAGCCGACCUGAGAGGGUGAUCGGCCACAUUGGGGCUGAGACACGGCCCAAACUCCUACGGGAGGCAGCAGUAGGGAAUCUUCGGCAAUGGACGAAAGUCUGACCGAGCAACGCCGCGUGAGUGAAGAAGGUUUUCGGAUCGUAAAACUCUGUUGGUAGAGAAGAACGUUGGUGAGAGUGGAAAGCUCAUCAAGUGACGGUAACUACCCAGAAAGGGACGGCUAACUACGUG